UAAUGUGCACAACGCAAUUUGGGAAA
RNAcentral lists this non-coding RNA (26 nucleotides) under Mus musculus (house mouse). Lineage: Eukaryota; Metazoa; Chordata; Mammalia; Rodentia; Muridae. The record is from RNAcentral.